Molecule: long non-coding RNA, 4693 nt
Organism: Dama dama (fallow deer)
Lineage: Eukaryota; Metazoa; Chordata; Mammalia; Artiodactyla; Cervidae
Exons: 4
Source: RefSeq, a predicted model, not a curated record
UGACUCGCUAACUAAGCAUACCAUCACACCGCCACACAAGAAUGUGGCCCUCUAGGGCGGCAACGACACUGCUGCCAGGGACCCGAGGGAAAGAAAGAUCUUUCCUACCAGGGUGUUCUCAGCCUCGCCAAACGCGCCAUCGCCCCCGCCGCUGAGACCCCUCCUCCGAGCCUGCGGGGGAGGGAGUGAGCAGCCCCACGUCUCGGGCUCUCCCACUGAGGCGCAGUGGGGUGGCGCCGGGGCGGGAAGGAGGCGAGCGUGAAGGAGGCCUGGUAGUGCCCGCCCAGCCUUACCCAGCCUCGGCGGGCCCCCGGUGCGGGCGGCCGUCCCAACGCCGCCCCCGGGGCCCACUUGCAGGGACGACAGCCUCUGAGGGGCCCACCCGGGCUCAUCUUCCGGAAGACCCCGGCGGUAGGGGGCCGAGAAGGGACCCUGCGCACAGGGCCCCGCAGAUCCGGGACCAGACGGCGGAAGGGGCGCUCCCGCCUGGAGGUUUCUCAGUUCAGUGGCUGCAGGUCCCACUGGCCUACAGAGAAGAGCAAUCACCGAGCACUUCAGGAAUGCUGGAGCUCCCCUCACAAAUUGCUAUAGACUGAAUACUUGUGUCCCCCCAACAUUCAAAUGUUGAAGCCAUAACCCCCAGUGUGAUAGCAUUUGGAGACUUUGGGAGCAUGUGAAGAUACAGCAACAAGGUGGCCAUUGUCUGCAAACCAGGAAGAAGUUUCUCACCAGACACCACAUUGAACCUGCCAGCACCUUGAACCUGGACUUCCCACUCUCUGGAACUCUUUUAUGCUGUAUUUACUUAGCACUGUGACAGCUUGAAAUGAAAAGGAUGAGGAAUACUACACAAAUGAAGGAACAAACUAGUAACACAGAAAUCCAAAUAAAUGAAGAGGAAAUAGGCAAACUACCUGAAAAAGAAUUCAGAAUAAUGAUAGUAAAGAUGAUCAAAAAUUUUGAAAACAAAGUGGAGACAAUGCAAGAAUCAAUUAAUAAAGAUCUAGAAGAAUUAAAGAACAAACAUACAGAGACAAACAACAAAAUUACUGAAAUUAAAAAACUCUAGAAGGAAUCAAUUGCAGAAUAUCCGAAGCAGAAGAAUGAAUCAGUGAGCUGGAAGGUAAAAUGGUGGAAAUAACUUUUGAAGAGCAGAAUAAAUUAAAAAGAAUGAAAAGAACUGAGGAUAGUCUCAGAGACCUCUGGGACAAUAUCAAAUGCACCAACAUUCAAAUUAUAUGGGUCCCAAAAGAAGAAGAGAAAAAGAAAGGGUAUGAGAAAAUUUUUGAACAGAUUAUAGUUGAAAAUUUCCCCAACAUGGAGAAGGAAAUAGUCAAUCAAGUCCAAGAGGCACAAAGAGUCCCAUAUAGGAUAAACCCAAGGAGAAACACACCAAGACAUAUACUAAUCAAACUAGCAAAGACUAAUCACAAAGAAAGAAUAUUAAAAGCAGCAAGGGAGAAGCAGCAAGUAACAUACAAGGGGAACCCCAUACACUUAACAGCUGAUCUUCCAGCAGAAACUCUGCAGACCAGAAGGAAAUGGCAAGUCUACAACCAAGGUUACUGUACCUGGCAAGGAUCUCAUUCAAAAUUGAUGAAGAAAUAAAAAGCUUUUCAGGCAAGCAAAAGUUAAGAGAAUUCAGUACCACCAAACCAACUCUACAGCAAAUGUUAAAGGGACUUAUAUUGUCAAGAAAUACAAGAGAAGAAAAAAGAUCUAUAAAAUCAACCCCAAACAAUUCAGAAAAUGGCAAUAGGAAUAUAUAUAUCACUAAUUAUUUUAAAUGUAAAUGGAUUAAAUGCUCCAACCAAAAAAACACAGAAUGGCUGAAUGGAUACAAAAAUAAGACCCAUAUAUAUGCUGUCUACAAGAAACAUACUUCAGACCUCAAGACACAUAUAGACUGAAAGUGAGAGGAUGGAAAAAUAUAUUCCAUGCAAAUUGGAAGCAAAAGAAAGCUGGAGUAGCAAUCCUCAUAUCAGACAAAAUAGACCUUAAAAUAAAGAAGAUUGCAAGAGAUAAGGAAGGACACUACAUAAUAAUCAAGGGAUCAAUCCAAUAGGAAGAGAUAACAAUUGUAAAUAUCUAUGCACCCAAUAUAGGAGCACCUCAAUACAUAAGAGAAACACUAACAGACAUAAAAGGAGAAAUUGACAUUAACACAAUAAUAGUAGGAGACUUUAACACCCCACUCACACUAAUGGCCAGAUCAUCAAAACAGAAAAUUAAUAAGGAAACACAAGUCUUAAAUGGUACAUUAGAGGAGAUGGAUCUCAUUGAUAUCUUCCGGACAUUCCAUCCAAAUGCAGAAGAAUACACCUUCUUCUCAAGUGCACAUGGAACAUUCUCCAGGAUAGACCAAAAUCUUGGGUCACAAAUCAAACCUCAGUAAAUUGAAGAAAAUUGAAAUCGUAUCAAGCUGCUUCUCCAACCACAACCCUGUGAGACUAGAUAUCAAUUACAAGAAAAAAACUGUAAGAAACACAAACACAUGGAGGUUAAACAAUACUUUUCUAAAUAACCAACAGGUUACUGAAGAAACCAAAAGGAAAGUAAAAAUAUUUCUAGAAACAAAUGACAAUGAAAACAUGACAACUCAAAACCUGUGGGAUGCAGCAAAAGCAGUCCUAAGAGGGAAGUUUAUAGCAAUACAAAGAAACAAGAAAAACACCGAAUAGACAACCUAACUUUACACCUAAAACAAUUGGAAAAAGAAGAACAAAAGACCCCAAAAUUAGUAGAAGGAAAGAAAUCAUAAAGAUCCGAGCAGAAAUAAAAAGAAAUGAAAGAAACAAUAGUAAAGAUGAGUAAAACUAAAAACUGGUUCUUUGAGAAGAUAAACAAAUUUGACAAACCUUUAGCCAGACUCAUCAAGAAAAAAAGAGAAGAAUCAAAUCAACAAAAUGAGAAAUGAAAAAGUAGAGGUUACAACAGACAAUGCAGAAAUACAAAGGAUUAUAAGAGACUAUUAUGAACAACUAUGUGUCAAUAAAAUGGAUAACCUGGGAGAAAUGGACAGAUUCUUAGAAAAGUUCAAUCUUCCAAGACUAAACCAGGAAGAAACAGAAAUUAUGAACGAUUGAAAUUUAAGCUGUGAUCAAAAAUCUCCCCAAAAACAAAAGCCCAGGACCAGAUGGCUUCACAGGAGAAUUCUGUCAAACAUUUAGAGAAGAAUUAAUGCCUCUCCUUCUAAAACUCUUUCAAACAAAUGGCAGAGGAAGGAACACUUCCAAACUCAUUCUAUGAGGCCACCAUCACCCUGAUACCAAAACCAAAGACAACACACAAAAAAGAAAACUACAGGUCAAUAUCACUGAUGAACAUAGAUGCAAAAAUCCUCAAGAAAAUUUUAGCAAACAGAAUUCAGCAACACAUGAAAAAGCUCAUACACCAUGAUCAAGUUGGGUUUAUUCCAGGAAUGCAAGGAUUCUUCAAUAUAUGCAAAUCAAUCAAUGUGAUAGACCAUAUUAAAAAAUUGAAAGAUAAAAACCAUAUGACAGCUCAAUAGAUGCAGAAAAAGCCUUGACAAAAUUCAGCACCCAUUUAUGAUUAAAACUCUUCAAAAAAUGGGCAUAGAAGGAAUCUUCCUCAACAUAGUAAACAUCAUAUAAAAUAAGCCUACAGCAAACAUUAUUCUCAAUGGUGAAAAACUGAAAUGCUUCCCCCCUAAGAUCAGGAACAAGACAAGGGUGUCCACUUUCACCACUAUUAUUCAACAGUUUUGGAAGUCCUAGCUAGAGCAAUCAGAAAAGAAAAAGAAAUAAAAGGAGUCCAGAUGGAAAAAGAAGUAAAGCUCUUACUGCUUGUGGUUGACAUGAUACUCUAAAUAGAAAACCCUAAAGAUAGUAUCAGAAAAUUACUAGAUAGAGCUAAUCAGUGAAUUUAGCAAAGUCACAGGAUACAAAAUCAAUACACAGAAAUCACUUGCAUUUCUAUAUACUAACAAUGAAAAAUCAGAAAGAGAAAUUAAGGAACCAAUCCCAUUCACCAUUGCAACAAAAAGAAUUAAAUAUCUAGGAAUAAACCUACCUAUGGGGACAAAAGAACCAUACACAGAAAAUUAUAAGACAAUAAUGGAAGAAAUCAAAGACGACAUAAACAGAUGGAGAGAUAUUCCAUGUUCCUGGGUAGGAAGACUCAAUAUUAUGAAAAUAAGUAUACUACCAAAUGCAAUCUACAGAUUCAAUACGCUCUCUGUCAAAUUACCAAUGGCAUUUUUCAAAGAACUAGAACAAAAGCUUUCACAAUUCGUAUGGAAACACAAAAGACCCCGAAUAGCCAAAGCAAUCUUGAGAAAGAAGAAUGGAGCUGGAAGAAUCAACCUUCCUGACUUCAGGUUAUACUACAAAGCUACAGUUGUCAAGUCGUCAAGACAGUAUGGUACUGGCACAGAAACAGAAAUAUAGACCAAUAGAACAAGAUAGAAAGCCCAGAAAUAAACCCAUGCACCUAUGGGUACCUUAUUUUUGACAAAGGAGGCAAGAAUAUACAAUGGGGCAAAGACAGCCUCUUCAAUAAAUGGUGCUGGGAAAACUGGACAGCUACAUGUAAAAGAAUGAAAUUAGAACACUUCCUAACACCAUACACAGAAAUAAACUCAAAAUAGAUUAAAGAUCUAAAUGUAAGACCAGAAACGAUAAAACUCUUAAGAAGAAAACACAGACAGGACACUUGAUGACAUAAAGCAAGA